Molecule: ribosomal RNA, 494 nt
Filed under: uncultured bacterium
Lineage: Bacteria
Description: partial 16S ribosomal RNA
Rfam family: Bacterial small subunit ribosomal RNA
Source: RNAcentral
GACGAACGCUGGCGGCGUGCUUAACACAUGCAAGUCGAACGGAAAGGCCUGCUUUCCCUUGUGGAUUGCGGGUACUCGAGUGGCGAACGGGUGAGUAACACGUGAGUGAUCUGCCCCCAACUUGGGUAUAAGCCUGGGAACCUGGGUCUAAUUCCCGAUAGGACUGCAGGGUGGUGCCUGUGGUGGAAAACGAUUUUCUAGUGGUUGGGGAUGAGCUCGCGGCCUAUCAGCUUGUUGGUGGGGUAAUGGCCUACCAAGGCGGCGACGGGUAGCCGGCCUGGGAGGGUGGACGGCCACAUUGGGACUGAGAUACGGCCCAGACUCCGACGGGAGGCAGCAGGGGGGAAGAUUGCACAAUGGGCGGAAGCCUGAUGCAGCGACGCAGCGUGGGGGAUGACGGCCUUCGGGUUGUAAACUCCUUUCGACGGCGAGGAAGCCACCUGGUUGGAAGGGUGGUGACGGUAGUGGUAGAAGAAGCACCGGCUAACUACGUG